ACGAACGCUGGCGGCGUGCCUAAUGCAUGCAAGUCGAGCGAAGUUUUUCUGGUGCUUGCACCGGAAAAACUUAGCGGCGAACGGGUGAGUAACACGUAAAGAACCUGCCUCAUAGACUGGGACAACUAUUGGAAACGAUAGCUAAUACCGGAUAACAGCAUUAACUGCAUGGUUGAUGUUUAAAAGUUGGUUUUGCUAACACUAUGAGAUGGCUUUGCGGUGCAUUAGCUAGUUGGUGGUGUAAAGGCCUACCAAGGCGACGAUGCAUAGCCGACCUGAGAGGGUGAUCGGCCACACUGGGACUGAGACACGGCCCAGACUCCUACGGGAGGCAGCAGUAGGGAAUCUUCCGCAAUGGGCGAAAGCCUGACGGAGCUACGCCGCGUGAGUGAAGAAGGAUUUCGGUUCGUAAAGCUCUGUUGUUAGGGAAGAAUGAUUGUGUAGUAACUAUACACAGUAGAGACGGUACCUAACCAGAAAGCCACGGCUAACUACGUG
This 498-nucleotide ribosomal RNA is filed under the name uncultured bacterium. Its description in RNAcentral is "partial 16S ribosomal RNA". It matches the Rfam family "Bacterial small subunit ribosomal RNA", at positions 29 to 507 of the family's 1533-position model. The record is from RNAcentral.